UACAGAGGGCUCAAGCGUUGUUCGGAUUCAUUGGGCGUAAAGGGUGCGUAGGCGGCGCGGUAAGUCGGGUGUGAAAUCUUGGAGCUUAACUCCGAAACUGCAUUCGAUACUGCCGUGCUUGAGGACUGGAGAGGAGACUGGAAUUUACGGUGUAGCGGUGAAAUGCGUAGAUAUCGUAAGGAAGACCAGUGGCGAAGGCGGGUCCCUGGACAGUUCCUGACGCUGAGGCACGAAGGCCAGGGGAGCAAACGGG
RNAcentral lists this ribosomal RNA (253 nucleotides) under uncultured bacterium. RNAcentral's name for it is "partial 16S ribosomal RNA". It matches the Rfam family "Bacterial small subunit ribosomal RNA", at positions 524 to 776 of the family's 1533-position model. The record is from RNAcentral.